This 465-nucleotide ribosomal RNA is filed under the name Vreelandella stevensii. RNAcentral's name for it is "partial 16S ribosomal RNA". It matches the Rfam family "Bacterial small subunit ribosomal RNA", at positions 338 to 795 of the family's 1533-position model. The record is from RNAcentral. Lineage: Bacteria; Pseudomonadati; Pseudomonadota; Gammaproteobacteria; Oceanospirillales; Halomonadaceae.
CCUACGGGGGGCUGCAGUGGGGAAUAUUGGACAAUGGGGGCAACCCUGAUCCAGCCAUGCCGCGUGUGUGAAGAAGGCCCUCGGGUUGUAAAGCACUUUCAGUGAGGAAGAACGCCUGGUGGUUAAUACCCAUCAGGAAAGACAUCACUCACAGAAGAAGCACCGGCUAACUCCGUGCCAGCAGCCGCGGUAAUACGGAGGGUGCGAGCGUUAAUCGGAAUUACUGGGCGUAAAGCGCGCGUAGGUGGCUUGAUAAGCCGGUUGUGAAAGCCCCGGGCUCAACCUGGGAACGGCAUCCGGAACUGUCAAGCUAGAGUGCAGGAGAGGAAGGUAGAAUUCCCGGUGUAGCGGUGAAAUGCGUAGAGAUCGGGAGGAAUACCAGUGGCGAGGGCGGCCUUCUGGACUGACACUGACACUGAGGUGCGAAAGCGUGGGUAGCAAACAGGAUUAGAUACCCUUGUAGUC